This 77-nucleotide transfer RNA is filed under the name Bacillota bacterium. RNAcentral's name for it is "tRNA-Arg". It matches the Rfam family "tRNA". Rfam says of the family: Transfer RNA (tRNA) molecules are approximately 80 nucleotides in length. The record is from RNAcentral. RNAcentral also lists the same sequence under 6 other names. Lineage: Bacteria; Bacillati; Bacillota.
GUCCCGAUAGCUCAGCUGGAUAGAGCAACGGACUUCUAAUCCGUAGGUCGGGGGUUCGAAUCCCUCUCGGGACGCCA